RNAcentral lists this ribosomal RNA (305 nucleotides) under uncultured bacterium. Its description in RNAcentral is "bacterial SSU rRNA". It matches the Rfam family "Bacterial small subunit ribosomal RNA", at positions 337 to 639 of the family's 1533-position model. The record is from RNAcentral.
GCCUACGGGGGGCAGCAGUGAGGAAUAUUGGUCAAUGGUCGGGAGACUGAACCAGCCAAGCCGCGUGAGGGAUGAAGGUACAGAGUAUCGUAAACCUCUUUUGUCAGGGAACAAAGGCGGGGACGUGUCCCCGGAUGAGUGUACCUGAAGAAAAAGCAUCGGCUAACUCCGUGCCAGCAGCCGCGGUAAUACGUAGGGGGCAAGCGUUAUCCGGAAUUACUGGGUGUAAAGGGAGCGUAGACGGUUAAGUAAGUCUGGAGUGAAAGGCCGGGGCCCAACCCCGGGACUGCUCUGGAAACUAUUUA